CCAGCCGGCCGGGCGGCCGCUCCCGUCAUAUGUCGAAAGGCGGCGGGGGAGGAAAGUCCGGGCUCCACGGAGAAACGGUGCCGGGUAACGCCCGGCGGGGGUGACCCCAGGGAAAGUGCCACAGAAAACAAACCGCCUUCGGCUUCGGCCGAAGGUAAGGGUGAAACGGUGGGGUAAGAGCCCACCGCGUUUCCAGCAAUGGCGACGGCAGGGCAAACCCCACCGGGAGCAAGACCGAAUAGGAACGACGCGGCGGGAAACCGCCAGGCCUCUCCGGCCCUGUCGUUCGGGUGGGUUGCUUGAGGCGUCGCGCGAGCGGCGUCCCAGAGGAAUGGUCGCCGGGCGGCGAAAGCCGCCGCACAGAACCCGGCUUAUAGGCCGGCUGGCCUU
Non-coding RNA from Aureimonas ureilytica, 390 nucleotides. The record is from Rfam. NCBI's taxonomy places the organism in Bacteria, Pseudomonadati, Pseudomonadota, Alphaproteobacteria, Hyphomicrobiales, Aurantimonadaceae.